AUGGAUUAUUUGGGACCAAACCAACAUUUGUUAUUGAAGUAGAAGUCCUGGGAGUGCAUUCUGACGAAGACAACAAAGAUCCACAGAUGAUGCAAUCUCUACUGCACUCCACACUUCCCUUUCACACCUGGACAAAAGGAACACCUAUGUGAGAAUGCUAUUCAUUGACUACAGCUCAGCGUUCAACACCAUAGUGGCCUCAAAGCUCAAACCUAAACACCUACCUCUGCAACUGGAUCCUGGACUUCCUGACGGGGCUGACCUUCAUGUGCAGAGGUUUGUCCGACAUAAGGAACUCACAGGUCGUCUCACUAUCCUCCGGAGUGUACUGGAUCUUACGGAUGGCAAGACGCACAGAGCUCCUGUGGGAUACCGAGAGCAACGAUCAGUAGCCUGGUGGCUUGGGGAAGAACUGUCAUGCAGUCCAACACUUGAUUCUGAAAUGAAAUGAAUUGGACCUGUAGUGCAGUAAACCAGAACAUACAAAUAUCCAGAGCAACAAAAG
RNAcentral lists this long non-coding RNA (505 nucleotides) under Salmo salar (Atlantic salmon). RNAcentral describes it as "lncRNA (ENSSSAG00000108241.1, ENSSSAG00020016991.1, ENSSSAG00075061941.1)". The record is from RNAcentral. Lineage: Eukaryota; Metazoa; Chordata; Actinopteri; Salmoniformes; Salmonidae.